UUGCAGCAUCCGAUGAGAAACCAAGGUAGUUCCUCGGCCUGGCAGAUAACUCUCUAGACAUAAUUCUUUCACAAGUCACUGAUAGCAAUUUGAGUCAUUCCUCAGUUUGGAAUAGGACUGCAUCAUGGAGGUCUAAAUGUUAGAGAUAGAUCCUUGGUCGAGGAACUCUUUUCAAACAACAAGAUUCAGGUAUUGGUAUGCACUAGCACACUGGCUUGGGGUGUCAAUCUUCCAUCUCACCUUUUCAUAAUCAAGGGUACUGAAUACUAUGGUGAGAAAACAAAAAGAUAUGUUGAUUAUGUUAUCACAGAUAUUCUGCAAACGAUGGGUCGUGCAGGCCGACCACAGUAUGACCAACAUGGCAAAGCUGUUAUUCUUGUUCAUGAACCAGAGCUUUUAUAAGAAGGUGGCAUGUUAACUUUGUGUAC
Non-coding RNA from Triticum urartu, 428 nucleotides. NCBI's taxonomy places the organism in Eukaryota, Viridiplantae, Streptophyta, Magnoliopsida, Poales, Poaceae. The record is from RefSeq and is a predicted model, not a curated record.